UACGUAGGUGGCCAGCGUUAUCCGGAAUUAUUGGGCGUAAAGAGCGCGCAGGUGGUUGAUUAAGUGUGAUGUGAAAGCCCACGGCUUAACCGUGGAGGGUCAUUGGAAACUGGUCGACUUGAGUGCAGAAGAGGGAAGUGGAAUUCCAUGUGUAGCGGUGAAAUGCGUAGAGAUAUGGAGGAACACCAGUGGCGAAGGCGGCUUCCUGGUCUGUAACUGACACUGAGCGCGAAAGCGUGGGGAGCAAACAGGAUUAGAUA
RNAcentral lists this ribosomal RNA (260 nucleotides) under uncultured prokaryote. Its description in RNAcentral is "partial 16S ribosomal RNA". It matches the Rfam family "Bacterial small subunit ribosomal RNA", at positions 524 to 784 of the family's 1533-position model. The record is from RNAcentral.